RNAcentral lists this ribosomal RNA (486 nucleotides) under uncultured bacterium. RNAcentral describes it as "bacterial SSU rRNA". It matches the Rfam family "Bacterial small subunit ribosomal RNA", at positions 30 to 518 of the family's 1533-position model. The record is from RNAcentral.
UGAACGCUGGCGGCGUGCCUAACACAUGCAAGUCGAGCGAGAAGCUCAUGACCAAUACUCGGUUGCGUGAUGAGUGGAAAGCGGCGGACGGGUGAGUAACGCGUAGGCAACCUGCCCCUUGCAGAGGGAUAGCCUCGGGAAACCGGGAUUAAAACCUCAUAAUGCGGAGCUGAGACAUCUCAAUUCCGCCAAAGAUUUAUCGGCAAGGGAUGGGCCUGCGUCUGAUUAGUUAGUUGGUGGGGUAACGGCCUACCAAGGCGACGAUCAGUAGCCGACCUGAGAGGGUGAUCGGCCACAUUGGAACUGAGACACGGUCCAAACUCCUACGGGAGGCAGCAGUGGGGAAUAUUGCACAAUGGGCGAAAGCCCUGAUGCAGCAACGCCGCGUGAAGGAUGAAGGCCCUUGGGUCGUAAACUUCUGUUCUAAGGGAAGAUAAUGACGGUACCUUAGGAGCAAGUCCCGGCUAACUACGUGCCAGCCGCUGC